Molecule: transfer RNA, 63 nt
Filed under: Xylotrupes beckeri
Lineage: Eukaryota; Metazoa; Arthropoda; Insecta; Coleoptera; Scarabaeidae
Also listed under: 4 other names
Description: tRNA-Cys
Source: RNAcentral
AGUCUUAUAGUCUAAUAAGGAUAAUAAAUUGCAAAUUUAUUGGUGAAUUUUAAUCUAAGGCUU